UUUGAUUUUCACGAACCUCAUUCGAACUCGAGACUUCGCCGGGCUGUGUUUGGUUGUGAUUUUUGUGUUUUUUUUACUUAGCUUUUUGAUUUUCUUUUUUUUCCCCAGUUGGAAAAAUAAUACAAGUGUAGAUCAAAAUGAAAUACUUAGUUCUCGGAUCCGUUGUAUUGUUGGCAGCUGUCUGCUUAGCUCAGCCAAUCGCUCAACAAAAACUCGCUGAAAACAACCCAGCUGACCCCAGACAGAAAAGAAGUCUUCUCUUGGGAUUAGGUUUGGCCAAAGGUGCCGCCGUCCUCGGCGGUCUCGGAGCUGCUAAAGUUAUCGGCGCCGGUGUCAUCGGUGCUGGAGCUGUCGGCGCCGGAGCCCUCAUCGGAGGCGCUGCUUUGGCUAAAUUCAAACACUACGGUGGUGGCUACGGUGGCUACGGUGGAUACUACGGUGGCUACGGAGGCGGUUACGGAGGUUACGGAUAUGGCGGAUACGGAGGAUACGGAUACCCGAUCAGCAAAAGCUACGUUAUCGAAGAACCCGCCCCAGUAGUUGUUGCCCAACCUGCUGUACAUGCUGUGCCCGCUGUCUACGCUCAACCCGCUGUCUAUGCUCAACCUGCUGUUGUUGCCGCCCCAUCUUAUGUAUCGUACCCGAGCUACGGAGUUGGUAGCUUUGCUAGUGCUGGAAGCUUCGCCCAUGCUGGUUAUGGAGGUUAUGGAUACUCGCCAUGCUAAGAACCUAAAUCAAUAUUUUUAAUCUUGCUCUAAAAGACGUGAACCUCCAGUGAAAAAGCUAAUGACACUACUGGAAAAAAGGUGAUAAAAAAUAAACUUUCUAUCAAAAAACGCGAGCUCAAUUCCUACACCAGUGUCAAAAAUUUCAACAAAAAAAAAUGUAUAAUUUAUUCAACGUUGUUUGUUCUUUAUUAUUUUCAUUAUUGUAAUAAUAGUGUUUUAAUAAACGUAUUUUUUUUUCAA
Molecule: RNA transcript, 968 nt
Organism: Planococcus citri (citrus mealybug)
Lineage: Eukaryota; Metazoa; Arthropoda; Insecta; Hemiptera; Pseudococcidae
Gene name: shematrin-like protein 2
Exons: 4
Source: RefSeq, a predicted model, not a curated record